Molecule: ribosomal RNA, 253 nt
Filed under: uncultured bacterium
Lineage: Bacteria
Description: partial 16S ribosomal RNA
Rfam family: Bacterial small subunit ribosomal RNA
Source: RNAcentral
UACGAAGGGGGCUAGCGUUGCUCGGAAUCACUGGGCGUAAAGCGCACGUAGGCGGAUUGCUAAGUCAGGGGUGAAAUCCUGGAGCUCAACUCCAGAACUGCCUUUGAUACUGGCGACCUUGAGUCCGGGAGAGGUGAGUGGAGCUGCGAGUGUAGAUGUGAAAUUCGUAGAUAUUCGCAAGAACACCAGUGGCGAAGGCGGCUCACUGGCCCGGUACUGACGCUGAGGUGCGAAAGCGUGGGGAGCAAACAGG